Molecule: ribosomal RNA, 811 nt
Filed under: uncultured bacterium
Lineage: Bacteria
Description: bacterial SSU rRNA
Rfam family: Bacterial small subunit ribosomal RNA
Source: RNAcentral
GCAUGCAGGUGGUUUGUUAAGUCAGAUGUGAAAGCCCGGGGCGCGGCCUCGGAACUGCAUUUGAAACUGGCAAACUAGAGUACUGUAGAGGGGGGUAGAAUUUCAGGUGUAGCGGUGAAAUGCGUAGAGAUCUGAAGGAAUACCAGUGGCGAAGGCGGCCCCCUGGACAGAUACUGACACUCAGAUGCGAAAGCGUGGGGAGCAAACAGGAUUAGAUACCCUGGUAGUCCACGCCGUAAACGAUGUCUACUUGGAGGUUGUGGCCUUGAGCCGUGGCUUUCGGAGCUAACGCGUUAAGUAGACCGCCUGGGGAGUACGGUCGCAAGAUUAAAACUCAAAUGAAUUGACGGGGGCCCGCACAAGCGGUGGAGCAUGUGGUUUAAUUCGAUGCAACGCGAAGAACCUUACCUACUCUUGACAUCCAGAGAACUUAGCAGAGAUGCUUUGGUGCCUUCGGGAACUCUGAGACAGGUGCUGCAUGGCUGUCGUCAGCUCGUGUUGUGAAAUGUUGGGUUAAGUCCCGCAACGAGCGCAACCCUUAUCCUUGUUUGCCAGCGAGUAAUGUCGGGAACUCCAGGGAGACUGCCGGUGAUAAACCGGAGGAAGGUGGGGACGACGUCAAGUCAUCAUGGCCCUUACGAGUAGGGCUACACACGUGCUACAAUGGCGCAUACAGAGGGCAGCCAACUCGCGAGAGUGAGCGAAUCCCAAAAAGUGCGUCGUAGUCCGGAUUGGAGUCUGCAACUCGACUCCAUGAAGUCGGAAUCGCUAGUAAUCGUAGAUCAGAAUGCUACGGUGAAUACGUUCCCGG